GAUGAACGCUAGCUACAGGCUUAACACAUGCAAGUCGAGGGGUAACGAGAGGAAAGCUUGCUUUCCUUGUCGACGACCGGCGCACGGGUGAGUAACGCGUAUCCAACCUGCCCCCAACUAGGGAAUAACCUUGCGAAAGUAAGACUAAUACCCUAUAAUUUCCUCAGAUGACAUCUGACGAGGAAUAAAGAUUUAUCGGUUGUGGAUGGGGAUGCGUCUGAUUAGCUUGGUGGCGGGGUAACGGCCCACCAAGGCAACGAUCAGUAGGGGUUCUGAGAGGAAGGUCCCCCACAUUGGAACUGAGACACGGUCCAAACUCCUACGGGAGGCAGCAGUGAGGAAUAUUGGUCAAUGGGCGGAAGCCUGAACCAGCCAAGUAGCGUGCAGGAUGACAGCCCUAUGGGUUGUAAACUGCUUUUAUACAGGAAUAAAGUUAGCCACGUGUGGUUAUUUGUAGGUACUGUACGAAUAAGGACCGGCUAAUUCCGUGCCAGCCGCCGCUGUAA
This 506-nucleotide ribosomal RNA is filed under the name uncultured bacterium. RNAcentral's name for it is "partial 16S ribosomal RNA". It matches the Rfam family "Bacterial small subunit ribosomal RNA", at positions 28 to 523 of the family's 1533-position model. The record is from RNAcentral.